GAAAGCGACCAAAGUAAAAAAGGAACUACGUGAGCGAUCCAAGUUGGAUGGACCGUUUGCACAAUCAAAGAGACGCCGGUAUCUCCCUUACGAAGCGCAAGGCCUCUCAUGCACGUCGUGAGCAAUUUUGAAUCAAAAGCUUUGGCUGUAGAAAAAGAGCCGUCGUUUUCAGUCGUGAGAGCACAAGAUGAGGAGGAUUUUGUGCUCUCGAGGAACCCCUCCUUUCUUGUGUAGUAAAAUAAAUGAGGGGCUGCGUGGCUUCUUCCAAUGUCAAACUUAUGCCAGCCUGGGAACUUGUUUCUCAAUGUUAUCAUGCACACAAACGUGUAGUAGUUUCUUAUUUUUAUUUUUAUUUUUCUACAAUUUUUUAAUAGGAUGAAUUUCCCUUUUUAAGGAAUAUGUAUCUAAGGUGGUAGUGGGUAUGGUUGGCCGUCAUAUAUUUCCAGUGGUAAGUGUUCUAUACCUGAAAAUUCAGAUAGACACCUUAAAAACUUCUAGCAUUUCAAAACUCUUUAAUGAAAUUAUAAAGUUCAUUAUUUA
Molecule: long non-coding RNA, 540 nt
Organism: Selaginella moellendorffii
Lineage: Eukaryota; Viridiplantae; Streptophyta; Lycopodiopsida; Selaginellales; Selaginellaceae
Exons: 2
Source: RefSeq, a predicted model, not a curated record